Molecule: non-coding RNA, 407 nt
Filed under: Brevibacillus borstelensis AK1
Lineage: Bacteria; Bacillati; Bacillota; Bacilli; Caryophanales; Paenibacillaceae
Description: Bacterial small subunit ribosomal RNA
Rfam family: Bacterial small subunit ribosomal RNA
Source: Rfam by way of RNAcentral
UUAUUGGAGAGUUUGAUCCUGGCUCAGGACGAACGCUGGCGGCGUGCCUAAUACAUGCAAGUCGAGCGAGUCCCUUCGGGGGCUAGCGGCGGACGGGUGAGUAACACGUAGGCAACCUGCCCGUAAGCUCGGGAUAACAUGGGGAAACUCAUGCUAAUACCGGAUAGAGUCUUCUCUCGCAUGAGAGGAGACGGAAAGGUGGCGCAAGCUACCACUUACGGAUGGGCCUGCGGCGCAUUAGCUAGUUGGUGGGGUAACGGCCUACCAAGGCGACGAUGCGUAGCCGACCUGAGAGGGUGACCGGCCACACUGGGACUGAGACACGGCCCAGACUCCUACGGGAGGCAGCAGUAGGGAAUUUUCCGACAAUGGACGAAAGUCUGAUGGAGCAACGCCGCGUGAACGAU